RNAcentral lists this long non-coding RNA (1041 nucleotides) under Salvia miltiorrhiza (redroot sage). RNAcentral's name for it is "long non-coding RNA (SMIL_LNC012457)". Lineage: Eukaryota; Viridiplantae; Streptophyta; Magnoliopsida; Lamiales; Lamiaceae. The record is from RNAcentral.
AUUGAAAAUCGAAGCCAGUAUUUAUUUACAGUUCACAGAUUACAGGCUAGUUCCCAGCUUGGGGAAAAUCGUUUAGUAUAUUACAAAAGCAAAAGCUCUUCAAUCAAUUAAAGUUUAAAUACAAUUAUUAUUUCAAUCUUUUGUAAAUGAUGUACACGUCUUUGCUCCCCACUUCUCCACUCCACUUCUCCACUCCACCAACUUCCCCACCACACUCAACUAUCAGCCACCACCCUUUUUCUCCACCAAAUUUUCCACUUAUUUCCUUCCCCACCACACGCAAUAAUGCAAUACUCACUCUCAGCUCAUUCACAGAGUACCAAAGAACAAUCCCAGCUUGUUCCUGUCAAGUUCUCAAGUUUCUAUCCACUGAUUCAAACACCACAGCAGCCAACAUCAAUUUACAGCAACUCACUCCUGGAGAAAUCAACUUAUUUUCAUAAGAGGUAAACCAACUCACACAUACACUCAAAAUCAGUCAUUCAUUUUAUAAAGAAAACCAUCACCGAUGACAUGUUCAUGUACAUAAUCAACACUAACUAGGACUGCACAAUUCACAGAGGAUACGCACACAUAUUAUGUCACAAAAAUCAGCACGCAUACCUUGUUCUUUUUCUGAUAAAUGAGUUCCAUAAAAUGUUCUUUCUACUACAUUUUAGAAUUAUCACAAAUUGGUUAAAGAAAAGAAAAGGGAGUAUCUAUGCAUUGUGUGUGGGCGUGAGUGUUGAGAUGAAGCUGUUGUCGCUGUUGUUGUGAGUCGGGAUGUGUGAGUUGUUGGAGGAGGCCGUCGAAGGUGGCGACCUUCGUUGCAGUCGAUCGGCGAGGAGAGGGCUGAGAUUGUGAGGCUGCUGAGCCGUGAACACAGGGAUCGGCGGCGGCUUUCGCUGCUACUCGCCGGAAUAGAAGUGGGUGAGAACAGCCGGGGGCUGCUCACGGCCGGCGACGGCUCGGCGGCAAGCCGCUGCCUUUUUCUUUUUCUGUCGAAAAUUGGGAGGAGAGGAGAGAGAUUAUUAGAGUUCAGUUUUAAAAAAAAAGAGAGAG